ACUGCCAGAUGAAGGACAGGACGAGAGUCUGCUGGGCCCAGUCGCAGGGGCUGCUCUGCAUCCGUGCACAGUCCUGGCUCUCCUGCCCCUGCCCCUGCCCCUGCUCCUGCACCACCAAUGUGGAGGGGAGGCCUCGGCAUGCCAAGGCAUGAAUUUUCAGAAGCAUUCAUUGGAAAAGCUUAUACGGAAAUAUGGGAAAGCUUCCAUUGAGAGUGAAUUUCAAAAAUCUGUGCUGUGGAGCUGCAGCUGACUCUUUUAUAUGUCUGGGCAAGGGACAGAAGCACCUCAUCUGGCCAUUCAAAAGUUUCGUCUUAGUGUAUACAGCCCUAUCCAAAACACCAGUUCUGGGAUGGACAACAGCAAUCCAGAACAUGACUGUACUUCACAGAAGUGAUGGGGAGAGGCUGACAGAAGAUACUGGCGGAAAAUUCAA
Non-coding RNA from Phalacrocorax carbo (great cormorant), 433 nucleotides. NCBI's taxonomy places the organism in Eukaryota, Metazoa, Chordata, Aves, Suliformes, Phalacrocoracidae. The record is from RefSeq and is a predicted model, not a curated record.